RNAcentral lists this ribosomal RNA (253 nucleotides) under uncultured bacterium. RNAcentral describes it as "partial 16S ribosomal RNA". It matches the Rfam family "Bacterial small subunit ribosomal RNA", at positions 524 to 776 of the family's 1533-position model. The record is from RNAcentral.
UACAGAGGUCUCAAGCGUUGUUCGGAUUCAUUGGGCGUAAAGGGUGCGUAGGUGGCGAGGUAAGUCAGGUGUGAAAUCUCGGGGCUCAACCCCGAAACUGCACUUGAUACUGCCUUGCUCGAGUACUGGAGAGGAGAUUGGAAUUUACGGUGUAGCAGUGAAAUGCGUAGAUAUCGGGAGGAACACCAGUGGCGAAGGCGACUACCUGGCCUGUUCUUGACGCUGAGGCGCGAAAGCUAGGGGAGCAAACGGG